Molecule: ribosomal RNA, 99 nt
Filed under: Alistipes putredinis
Lineage: Bacteria; Pseudomonadati; Bacteroidota; Bacteroidia; Bacteroidales; Rikenellaceae
Also listed under: 1 other name
Description: partial 16S ribosomal RNA
Rfam family: Bacterial small subunit ribosomal RNA
Source: RNAcentral
UUUAUACAAUGGAGAGUUUGAUCCUGGCUCAGGAUGAACGCUAGCGGCAGGCUUAACACAUGCAAGUCGAGGGGCAGCAUAAUGGAUAGCAAUAUCUAU